Molecule: long non-coding RNA, 496 nt
Filed under: Nicotiana tabacum (common tobacco)
Lineage: Eukaryota; Viridiplantae; Streptophyta; Magnoliopsida; Solanales; Solanaceae
Description: long non-coding RNA (NTAB_LNC012425)
Source: RNAcentral
CUCUUAUCAUACGCCGGCAAUCAUCUAACGUGCACCGUCCAUCACCAAUAGUUCUAAACACGUUAAACAACUCCUCCGCCGUUAUCUUUCCGUCAUGAUCGGCGUCAAAGAAAUCGAACGCAUUUCUCAGCUCAUCGUCACAAGCCGGCGGCCCAAACGCCGAGCUAAUGGCUCCGAACUCCUCUAAGCUAAUACACCCAUCUCCAUUCCUAUCUACUUCAUUAAGCAAUGAUAUUAAUUCCUCUUCGCUUGGUGGGUCGGGUCCAACUCGGGUCAGAAUAGCUUCAAGUUGUUCCUUCCGUAUCUUCCCGUCACCGUCACUGUCAAUCAUGUGAAAAGCUUGUAAGAUUUCAGACCAUUCGUCGGCUGAGAUUUCACUGGGUGGUAACACGCUGGUUGGCGUGGCUAGCCCAUUAGGUUUUUUGAAGCCGCGGUGGGAUUCGGAAUCGGAACAAGACGAGGUUGUGCCCGACCCGAAUGAUGGGUUUUCGGAUCU